This 497-nucleotide ribosomal RNA is filed under the name uncultured bacterium. Its description in RNAcentral is "partial 16S ribosomal RNA". It matches the Rfam family "Bacterial small subunit ribosomal RNA", at positions 35 to 507 of the family's 1533-position model. The record is from RNAcentral.
GGGGGGGGGGGGGGGGGGGGCGGGGGGGGGCAGGGCGGGCGGGCGGGCGGGGGGCUUGCUCCGCUGACGUUCGCGGCGGAGGGGUGGGUCGCGCGUGGGUCACGUACCUCUCGGACUGGGAUGAGUUCGGGAAACCGGAGCUAAACCCGGAUACGAUAUUGACACGCCUUGUUCCCUCGUGCGCGACGGUGUUGAGGUCCCUUCUCGCUGGAUCCGCGCCGCCUUAGAUAGUUGGUCAGGUAACUGAUUACCAAGGCGACGAUGCGUCGCCGACCUGGGAGGGUGAGCGGCCACACUGGAACUGAGACACGGUCCAGACUCCUACGGGAGGCAGCAGUAGGGAAUCUUCCGCAAUGGGCGAAAGCCUGACGGAGCAACGCCGCGUGAGUGAUGAAGGUCUUCGGAUCGUAAAACUCUGUUAUUAGGGAAGAACAAAUGUGUAAUUAACGAUGCACGUCUUGACGGUACCUAAUCAGAAAGCCACGGCUAACUACGUG